AACGCACAUUGCACCUUUUGGUACUCCUUAAGGUAUAUCUGUUCGAGCGCCGUUUGGCUCUAAGACUCUGUCUUGUGUUGAUCAACCCAGUAAAUGGGUGAUCGAAAUGAAUUGGCUUUUGCUAUCUGCCAGAAACACAGCGAUAUGUGAAGAAAAGCAGACGACAGAACGCCUCGUCCCCAUGAUUUUGUACCCAUGGCCUCGGAUCAGAUAGGGAUACCCGCUGAACUUAA
This 233-nucleotide unclassified non-coding RNA is filed under the name uncultured fungus. Its description in RNAcentral is "partial contains 5.8S ribosomal RNA, internal transcribed spacer 2, and large subunit ribosomal RNA". Lineage: Eukaryota; Fungi. The record is from RNAcentral.